ACCCGCUGAACUGAAGCAUCUCAAUAAGCGGAGGAAAAUAAACUAACUAGGAUACUCUUAGUAAGUGCGACCGAAGAGAGUAAAGCUCGAUAAUUUAAAAUCUUUUUAUGAAGAUUAAUGUAAUUUUUUAAACUUAUUAAUUAAAAUAUUAAACUAUUGAUUAAAUACAUGGCUAUAAAGAGUUUAAGCCUCGUUACAAUUAUUUUAAUUAAGCAUAGGUUUAAAUAAAAGAGUCGGAUAGCUUGAGAAUGCUAUCUUAAAAUAGGUAGUACAUCCUAUCUAAAGCUAAAUAUCGUAAAGAGACCGAUAGUAUACAAGUAGUGUGAACGAAAGAUGAAAAGAACUCCUGAACGGAGAGUUAAUAGCGCCUGAACUUGUUUAGGGUAAGGUAUUUCAUUAAUACACCCGUCUUGAAACACGGAUUAGGGAGUUUGACUAUAAUACGAGUAUUUAAUUAUUAAAAUUUAAAUGCGAAAAGAAAUUAACUGCUCUUUUUUUUGGAGAUGGCUAUAGAGUAUUAUUGUCAAAACCCGAAUGGAGGUGAACUAUGCCUGUACAGAUUGAAGUCAGGGGAAACUCUGAUGGAAGAUCGUCAGCGUUAUUGAUGUGCAAAUCAUUUGCUUGAUAUGGGUAUAGGUGCGAAAGACUCAUCGAACCUCCUAAUAGCUGGUUUCCUCCGAAUUUUCCCUAAGGAUAGCUGUAAUAUUUAUUAAUAGUUAAGGAGAGUAGAGAAAUGGGUAGAGGUGUAGUGGAACUCCGGUUCUGCAACUUAUUUCCAAACUUCGAACCUUCUUAAAAUGAAUAAUUUUUCUUAAAGAAAUUAAUCAUCUUUGAAUAUAUAUUACAAGUGGGCUCUUACCGGUAAGCGGUUAUGGCGAAAAGGGAUGAACCUAACGUAUAGAUAAAGUGCCUAAAUUUACUAUUAAUGAAACCAUUAAGAGAGUCCAUGUAUUUAGACAGCGGGUCGGUGCCCCUAAAAGCAGGUAUCCGUUAAUGAGUGUGUUAAAACUCCCCCGCCGAAUACUCUGGCCUCGAAAAUGAAUGGCGCAUAUAGUAAUUACUGAUACUAUACAAAUAAUUUUUAAUUAAUUAUUUAGUAGGGGGAUGUGAAUAACUUGAAGAAUUUUUAAAUGUAAAUUUAAAUUAAAAGUUAUUUAUUACAAAUCCUAAUUGAAGUAGCGAUUAUCCAGGUUAAAAUCCUGGGGGCUGAUGAGGAGUAGGGUUUCUGGGCAACUUAAAUAGACCCAGAGUUAGUCGAACCUAAUUUCAAUAAAGAAAGAAAGGGAAUAUGAAUGAUAUUUCAUAACUAAAAAUUUUUUUUAAUAAAUAGUGGUAACACAAAUUUAAAAAAUUAUCAAUAUUAAUUAAAUACUGUAAAUAAUAGGGAUUUCUUUCCUAUAUAACUUUAAUUAUUUCCUAAGAAUCAAAUCAAUUGGAGAAUAGUUGAAAUAAUUUAGUAAAACUUAAAAUUCGUUUUAAGUUACGGCUAUUUAAUUAAUCCUUGAAAAGAUAAUUUAAACGAAAAAAUUUUUACUCGUACCGAUAACCGCAUCAGGUCUUCAAGGUAAGUAGCUUCUGGCCAUUAAGUUAUAAUAAUUUAGGGAAUUCGGCCAAUUAGAGCUUUAACUUCGGGAUAAAGCUUGGCUCUGAUGGAAAUCAGAACCGAUAGUUACAAGGAGAGCCCAACUGUUUAAUAAAAACUUAGUAUUAUGUAAUUACUAAUAAAAGUAUUAAACAUAAUAUGAAUCCUGCUCAGUGCUGUGUUUGUUAACUUGGAAAAAUUCAAUUAAGCGCCGGUAAAUAGCUGGGGUAACUAUGACUCUUAUCAAAGUAGCGAAAUACCUCGUCACUUAAUUAGUGACCUGCAUGAACGGAGCUAUGAGGUUCUCACUGUCCCAAAUUAUUACUUAGCGAACCAACAGUUGUGGG
This 1929-nucleotide ribosomal RNA is filed under the name Histomonas meleagridis. RNAcentral's name for it is "eukaryotic LSU rRNA". It matches the Rfam family "Eukaryotic large subunit ribosomal RNA", at positions 23 to 2377 of the family's 3401-position model. Lineage: Eukaryota; Parabasalia; Tritrichomonadida; Dientamoebidae. The record is from RNAcentral.